CCUACGGGAGGCAGCAGUGAGGAAUAUUGGUCAAUGGUCGGGAGACUGAACCAGCCAAGCCGCGUGCGGGAUGAAGGUACAGAGUAUCGUAAACCUCUUUUGUCAGGGAACAAAGGCGGGGACGUGUCCCCGGAUGAGUGUACCUGAAGAAAAAGCAUCGGCUAACUCCGUGCCAUCAGCCGCGGUAAUACGGAGGAUGCGGGCGGUGUCCGGUUUUAUUGGGUUUAUGGGGUGCGCAGGCGGUCUUUUAAGUCAGCGGUAAAAGCCCGGGGCUCAACCCCGUCCCGCCGUUGAAACUGGCAGUCUCGAGUUGGAGAGAGGUAUGCGGAAUGCGCGGUGUAGCGGUGAAAUGCAUAGAUAUCGCGCAGAACUCCGAUUGCGAAGGCAGCAUGCCGGCUCCACACUGACGCUGAGGCACGAAAGCGUGGGUAUCGAACAGGAUUAGAUACCCUAGUAGUC
This 459-nucleotide ribosomal RNA is filed under the name uncultured bacterium. RNAcentral describes it as "partial 16S ribosomal RNA". It matches the Rfam family "Bacterial small subunit ribosomal RNA", at positions 338 to 795 of the family's 1533-position model. The record is from RNAcentral.